Molecule: ribosomal RNA, 478 nt
Filed under: uncultured bacterium
Lineage: Bacteria
Description: partial 16S ribosomal RNA
Rfam family: Bacterial small subunit ribosomal RNA
Source: RNAcentral
GAUGAACGCUGGCGGCGUGCUUAACACAUGCAAGUCGAACGGGAAAUAUUUCAUUGAGACUUCGGUGGAUUUGAUUUAUUUCUAGUGGCGGACGGGUGAGUAACGCGUGGGUAACCUGCCUUAUACAGGGGGAUAACAGUCAGAAAUGGCUGCUAAUACCGCAUAAGCGCACAGAGCUGCAUGGCUCAGUGUGAAAAACUCCGGUGGUAUAAGAUGGACCCGCGUUGGAUUAGCUAGUUGGUGGGGUAACGGCCCACCAAGGCGACGAUCCAUAGCCGGCCUGAGAGGGUGAACGGCCACAUUGGGACUGAGACACGGCCCAGACUCCUACGGGAGGCAGCAGUGGGGAAUAUUGCACAAUGGGGGAAACCCUGAUGCAGCGACGCCGCGUGAAGGAAGAAGUAUCUCGGUAUGUAAACUUCUAUCAGCAGGGAAGAUAGUGACGGUACCUGACUAAGAUGCCCCGGCUAACUACGUG